UUAGUUUCCUUCCUCCUAUGACAGUGUCAAGCCUGUGACUGUGUUUCAGGGAAGACAGGUGCAAGCUGAUGGCUCCCCAUAUCUAGAAGCUGCUGAUUUGAAAAACACUCUAGUCAAGAAAAAUGUAGCUUUCUAUUAGCAAAGCAGCCACACAGACCAUCCAUACUCUCAGAGAAGAGCUAAUUUUCUGGCUGUGGUCACAGGCAAUCAAAACUAUCAUAUUGAUCCUCAAGAGCGAUUCCUAAUUAGCUACAGAGUAAUCUCCUAGAUUUCCCCAAGGCCAGAGUGCCUGACCGUGGCAUUAGUGGGCUGGACAGAACCACUAGCCCUGACCCCAGGCCCCUGUGCCACGUACCACGGAGGAAUUGGACCAGGAUGAGUAAACACUCUGGGAACUUCUGUGCACACACGACAAGCUGCAGACAAAACUCCUCAGACACGGAGUCAAAGAAGGAAGAGGUUUAUUCGGCCGGGAGCAUCGGCAGGACUCCUGUCUCAAGAGCCAAGCUCCCCAGACCCACUAAUGGACUAAGUAAUGUUUCUGUUGGUGACUCUAAGCAAGGAAAACAAAUAAGGCAAAGAAGGAGGUAAAAGAGACAAGUAAGACAUCUGAGAACCUGCAAUGACUCUUGGGAAGACAUCAAAGCAGAAAAAGAAAGAAGUGGCAAGUGACAAAAGAGGUGCAAUGUUUUAAAUGUUUGCCCCCUGCAAAACUCAUGUUGAAAUUUAAUUCUGCCCUCAUGGAUGGAUUUAUGCAUUAUGUUGGGAGGGAUUUUAUGAUAUUGGGAGUGGGUUUGACCCCUCUUACUCUCUCUCACCCUUCUGCCUUCCACCAUGAGACAAUGCAGAAGGAAGACACCAACCAGAUGCCAGACCCUCAUCUUAAACUUCCCAGCUUCCAAAACUGUGAGGAAAUAAAUGUCCAUUCUUUAUAAAUUACCUAUUUUGUGGUAUCCUGUUAUAUAGCUGCACAAACAGACUGAGACAGGAGGUAUAUGUCAGGGUGCAGUAGAGAACCAUUCACUGCAUUAGGGGGUUCCCUUCCAUGGCACUUUUUGCCUGCUUUAUUAAUUUAAUACAAAGAGAUCAGGCACCAAUUACAGGCAAGACCCACUAGUAAUCUUCAGCAGUGGGAUACAGAAAUGAACAAGAUGUAUGGUUUCUGCUUUCAAAUUGCAUACAGUUCAGUUGGGGCUAAAUUAUAGACACAAAUACUAAUAUUAUAAGUUAGAUUUUACUACAUUCACCAUAGAGGUAGGUUUUAGAAUUUCAAAGGAGAGGUUCUUAGCCAGGGGUGGGAAAUUUUAUGGAGGAGCUGGAUUUUGACAAUUUUAUCUAUGCUAAAUGAAUGCCCUCUUUCCGGGAACUAAGGAAUUUUACCUUUCUGGGGAUUCAUGGCAAGAAGAUACAAUCCUUGAUCUCAGAAGACAUUGUGAUACACAAUGACAGAUACGUUGAUAAUGAAAUGUAAAACUGCUUCCAGAAGCUUCUAGGUGUUAAGUUUGACCACAUCAUGCAUCUCAUUUCCACAUUGUCUUCUAUGUCUAUAUCUGGCCCCCUCCUCAACUAUCCUAAGCAUUUAGAGCAUCUCCUUUCCCUAUAAAAGCCAUCAUAGUUUAUGUUUAUGGCUAUGUGUUUUGUUUCUGCAAAUCUAAUUGUUCCUUAAGAGUAAGGAUUAUGUCUCAGAGCCUCACAGGAAGGCACAAAGGAAGAUGUCAGCAAACGCCAUAGAACUAUUAAUUACUGACAAUUCACAUGCCACACUGUUAAAUGAGGAAAGGGAGGAAGGAAGAGACCAGACCACUGAGGCAUUAAGAGAACAAGGAUCCAGCAUGGAUCAAGCAAAUCCCACCACCCUUAGCUAUGAGACCAAGUCCCAGCUCUGUCACUUGUUAGUUGUGUUGUCUUAGACAAGUCAAUUUACUUCCUAAGAAGCCCUGCCCUCUUCUAUAAUAACAUGUCUGUUGGAUUUCAUUCAUUCCCAAAUACUGAAGACAGUCUGCAACAAAAUUUUCUGGGAAAUUGUAAAAUACAGAUGAAUAAGCCCACAGAGGGUGAGCCGAAAUUUCUCUAUUUAUAAGAUCUCUGAAUGAAUCUAAUAAAGAGUGGUAUCUGCAAAUCAGAGGACUAAUGCUCAUGCUGUAAGAUUCUUCCACCUGUUACAUCAAGAACACUAACAUUUCUUAUUGUGAUGUAGAAACAGGGUGAUGGCCUUCUGAAAGCCAGCACGUAAUGACAGCAUGAAAUAUUUUACUUGUUAAUUUUUUGUUUGUCUGUUUUUCAGAUGUUUUUGACCUUCGUGGAGAAGAAGUUUGGUGGUGGGGCAGGAGCAGAAGUUAGAACUCGGGAUUUCUUUGUUCACCUUGGCUGCGAAGCCACCCAUAUAUGACCAGUGUUGAAACUCAUUGCACCAGGCCAACCAAUUAGUCUGUAUUGGCCCCAUAAACUUUGAGCUGACAAGUAUCAAGUGAAAGGUUCUUGAGAAUAAGACUGAAAAAUCCUUCUUACUUCCCCCUACAAAAAAAAUUCUCCAGCCCCAGAAUGUUAUUCCUUCCCAAGAAACACAAAUUAACUAGCUGCACUAAUGACCUCCAGACCAACACAAACCCAUUUCCCCUUGAAAUUAACCUUCUAUUCUGAAUCUAAACAGUGUCUAAUUAGCCCCAAACACUGGUGAGCUAACUGGAAGAGAAGAAUGUAGGAAAUCAAAACAAGGGGAUAGUUUUACGGUUGGAAAAAAAAAAAUAGCGAAAAGCCAUCCUCCAAUUAUCCUAUCCUUCUAACCUCCGCCCCCAGAUCCUUAUCCUGCAUCUUCAUUUGUCUUCCUUUCCGUAAACCUUGUAAAGGAGUCUGCUUUUCAGACAAAUAUUUUUCCCAGCUCAUUUGACACCUAGAAGGCAGGAAAAAUAUUGCCCAUCACGAUAAAUAUAAUAUUCCAAUUUUCCAGCAUUUGACAGCAAUCAAGGGAAGAGUAAUGUGUUCCCUCUGUGACUAAAUCAUUUAGAGACCAAGGUAUUCUGUCUCAUUCUCAUUAGGAAAAAAAAAUAUUCCAAUAAUCUCAUUAUCCCAGUGUGAAUAACAGUAAAAAAGCACCAAGACUAAUGACUUCUUCCGCGCUUGCCUCCGCAGAUACCAGCCCAGGCCGUGCUUUUAUAGGCAAUGCUUGGGUAAUGGAGUCUCCCUUAGCAGCGAUCCUGUAGCAUCUGCUGCUCUGAAAGCCCUGCCUAACACAUUCUGCUUUGUCUGCAGCAAGGUUUACACACACCCCUGGACUCCAAAGACUCUUUUUUAUGUACUUUUUAAAAAACUAACUCCAAUGGAAAAAGAAUGUGUCAUGGCAUGUUAAACUUUAUGGAAAUUCUUCUGGAGAAUAACAUAAUUUCACGGUGCAUUACUCUGAAAUGACCUAGUACUUGAACAAUUAAUUUUUAAGGUGUAGCAUUGACUUCCCCUUGCUGUAUUUAACCCAUAUCUGAAAUUGUCAACAAUGCCAAGGGUUGGACAAUGAGUUGGGAGAAGAGCAGGAGCCUGAAAAUUACUCCCUAUCUACUAUGUUUUCUUUUAUCAGACAUAAUGCUUCCCUCUUUGGUUCAAAAAUGAAAAGAGAAGGGAGCAGGUACUUUAGUUAGGGACACUUCAUAGGCAGCACAGCCUGGCAGGUAAAUAGUGCAGUCCUGGAGACAUAAACUCGACGUCUUACCUUUGUCAUUAAUUUACUGUGUAGCCUUAGAGAAACUCCUUUUUCUCUCUGUAGCUAAAAUGGGGGAAGGAGAGGUUUUGUUUGUUAUGCCCCCAAAAGGAAUUCAGUGAUAGAAAAUGAAUAGAUGUAUAAUAUAUCCUCUGAUUCCUUGAAAUAAAAGCUC
RNAcentral lists this long non-coding RNA (3863 nucleotides) under Homo sapiens (human). Its description in RNAcentral is "HSALNT0297857". The record is from RNAcentral. Lineage: Eukaryota; Metazoa; Chordata; Mammalia; Primates; Hominidae.